GCGUAGGCGGGAUAGUCAGUCAGGUGUGAAAUCCUAUGGCUUAACCAUAGAACUGCAUUUGAAACUACUAUUCUAGAGUGUGGGAGAGGUAGGUGGAAUUCUUGGUGUAGGGGUAAAAUCCGUAGAGAUCAAGAGGAAUACUCAUUGCGAAGGCGACCUGCUGGAACAUUACUGACGCUGAUUGCGCGAAAGCGUGGGGAGCAAACAGGAUUAGAUACCCUGGUAGUCCACGCCCUAAACGAUGGAUGCUAGUUGUUGGAGGGCUUAGUCUCUCCAGUAAUGCAGCUAACGCAUUAAGCAUCCCGCCUGGGGAGUACGGUCGCAAGAUUAAAACUCAAAGGAAUAGACGGGGACCCGCACAAGCGGUGGAGCAUGUGGUUUAAUUCGAAGAUACACGAAGAACCUUACCUAGGCUUGACAUUGAGAGAAUCCGCUAGAAAUAGUGGAGUGUCUGGCUUGCUAGACCUUGAAAACAGGUGCUGCACGGCUGUCGUCAGCUCGUGUCGUGAGAUGUUGGGUUAAGUCCCGCAACGAGCGCAACCCCCUUUCUUAGUUGCUAACAGGUUAUGCUGAGAACUCUAAGGAUACUGCCUCCGUAAGGAGGAGGAAGGUGGGGACGACGUCAAGUCAUCAUGGCCCUUACGCCUAGGGCUACACACGUGCUACAAUGGGGUGCACAAAGAGAAGCAAUACUGCGAAGUGGAGCCAAUCUUCAAAACACCUCUCAGUUCGGAUUGUAGGCUGCAACUCGCCUGCAUGAAGCUGGAAUCGCUAGUAAUCGCAAAUCAGCCAUGUUGCGGUGAAUACGUUCCCGGGUCUUGUACUCACCGCCCGUCACACCAUGGGAGUUGUGUUUGCCUUAAGUCAGGAUGCUAAAUUGGCUACUGCCCACGGCACACACAGCGACUGGGGUGAAGUCGUAACAAGGUAACCGUAGGUGAACCUGCGGUUGGAUCACCUCCUUUCUAGA
Molecule: ribosomal RNA, 970 nt
Filed under: Helicobacter pylori
Lineage: Bacteria; Pseudomonadati; Campylobacterota; Epsilonproteobacteria; Campylobacterales; Helicobacteraceae
Description: bacterial SSU rRNA
Rfam family: Bacterial small subunit ribosomal RNA
Source: RNAcentral